Molecule: ribosomal RNA, 252 nt
Filed under: uncultured bacterium
Lineage: Bacteria
Description: partial 16S ribosomal RNA
Rfam family: Bacterial small subunit ribosomal RNA
Source: RNAcentral
UACGGAGGGUGCAAGCGUUAUCCGGAUUCACUGGGUUUAAAGGGUGCGUAGGUGGAUUGGAAAGUCAGUGGUGAAUCUCCGGGCUUAACUCGGAGACUGCCAUUGAUACUAUCAGUCUUGAAUACCGUGGAGGUCAGCGGAAUAUGUCAUGUAGCGGUGAAAUGCAUAGAUAUGACAUAGAACACCAAUUGCGAAGGCAGCUGGCUACACGAAUAUUGACACUGAGGCACGAAAGCGUGGGGAUCAAACAGG